This is a long non-coding RNA of Homo sapiens (human), 6176 nucleotides long. RefSeq lists it as uncharacterized. The record is from RefSeq and is a predicted model, not a curated record. Lineage: Eukaryota; Metazoa; Chordata; Mammalia; Primates; Hominidae. The transcript is spliced from 2 exons.
AGCCAGAGUCCAGAGAUUCAGGCCACAGGCUGACUCUGCACCAAUGGCUAUGUGGAAUGGGACAGUUCAUCUCCGUCUCUGGUUCUGUGUGUCCCCCUCUGUAAAAGCAGAGUUUGUACUUACAUUUAGUCUAAUUCUAUAGUUUCAAAGCACCCUAGUUGACCACCUUGAAAGGCCAAAUCAAACAUUCAUGUUUCUCAAGUCUACUUUUUUUGUUGGUUUGUUUCUCUUCAAGAGCAAUAGAGGUGAUGCCUCAGAAUUUGGCCGACCUUCAUUUUAAACAGCUGUGCCAGGCAGCUUUGGAAUGGGCUCCUGUCUCCAGUGGCUUUUGCACCUGCAAUCUGGCUGGCUCGAGCUUUCUGUUUCCCGCCUGCCCCGGCAGCAGGCUAGGAGUAAGAGCAGUUGCCUAUGACGUUCUCUGAACCUCCUGCUCCAGGCGACUGAGCCAGGAGAUACCUAAGGGGCUUGUCAACACCUAAUGCUGUCUCUCCUUCUCCUUGGCUCCAAACACUGUUCUGGGUAUUGCCUCGCUGGGCCUGGCUAAAGCUCUGUCUUCUGAAGUGAAGGUUGACCUUUUAUUAAAUACUAACCCUACAAGAAAAGUAGAAUAAACUAGUCCCAUUGUAACUUGCCAAGAUUAAUACAUCCAUAGAAUUGGGGCAGGAGAUAACACCGAAUGUGUACUACAGACUAGAUAUUGUUAAGUAGUAUAUUUCUAAUUUAAUCUUUAAUCUUUAUAAUAAGCCUAUGUAAUAGAUAGGCACUAUGAUUAUUGCCAAUUUACAGAUGUGGAAACUGUGGGUUAGAGAAAUAAGGUAACUUUCCCAUAGACUUAUAGCUAUUAAGUGACAGAGGUAGGAUUUAGAGAUAGGUAGAUCCACUUGAGUCCAGAGCUUAUAGAGGUACCUACCUUACCAACAGGACGGCUUUUUGGAAUUCAUUUCGAUAAAAAAAAAAUCAAGUUGGAUAUGACGGACUUGAUCAUUUCUUCUGCCUGAGAUGCCUAACACAUCUAAAAGAGCUGUACGUUAGUUCAUGUUAUUGAAAAGCAGCCACCAAGACAGGCUAGAUGUCACUAUUUCUGAGCCUCCUUCUACUCCUCUUGUUUUUUUCCUUUUUUAGGAGGGAAAGACUGGCGGAAAGAGAAAUACACAAACCUCAGAAGGGAGCAGACAAUUCACACAUUUCUACAGUUUAACCUUCAGUGCCAAGAGAAACAGAAGUGGCUGGUUAUGAAAACCGGCAGCACAGCUUUUUCCCUCCCUGUGGUGUCUUCCCAGAUAAGAAAGCAGGCCUGAAUCCCGGGUGCUGUUCUUCCAGACCACAUGAAAGGUACUGUCUCAGGCUCCUCAUCUGGAACUUUUAUGCUUUACAAAGAUGAUAAUAGUCCCUCAAAAUCACCUACAAUGCUGAAUUAAAUAGCAUUCAAAGUAUACUAGGAGAAAAUUACAGUCAAGUUUGAGUCAACAGAUCUCUUAACCUGGUAACUUUUAGGAAACCACUUAAUUUCUGCAACUCAGUCAUCUUCCCUAUAAAAUGGGAAUAAUAAAACCUAUCUUGACUACUCUAAAGACUAGUAUUGAGAAGCAAAUGAGGUAAGAGACAUGAGAAAGAUUUAGAAAUUAUAAAAUUCAACAUAAAUACAAAUUAAUGAGGUACAUCUAUUAUGUCACCUGAUCUUUAUAACGUGACAAUUGUCCAAAUCAAAAUGGAGUCACUAAAGUUUUUUUUUGUUUGCUUGUUUGCUUGUUUGUUUUUAAAAAAACCCUGAUAAAUAGAGCCACAGAAGUCCAUGAAGAGAGGAUUCUCAUAUUCGUAUACCUGACAAGAAACACUAUCACAAUGACUGCAAAAAACACAACCUUGUACAAAGACCAUUACAAACUUACACAAAAGAAUACCUUUGCAAGGACAUCUGCCCAGCAAUUGCCUGUCCAAUCUCAGACUGGUGUCACUCUUGUUAUUUAUCUUUGUAACCAAGGAUAAUUAUUUCAAAACAAUUAUGUAAUUCUCCUCAUUUUUUCCUUUAAAAACCAUUUCUUUCUUUUACCUCCCUGAGUACUCAUAUGGGCACAGCAGUCUCAUUGCAGUGUAUUCUCAUGCACUAUUCCCAAAUAAAUAUUUUUUUCUUUUAGAAAGCCUCUCUCUGUUUGUUAUUUAGGCUGACAAUAACAACCCCAGGAAAUGGGUAAGUUAUUAUCCCUAUUUAUUGAUGGGUUGCGGGGGAGAAACAGAAAAGGAUCAGGCUAUUUGCUUAAAGUCCCUCAGCAAGUUGGCUCCCAAGGCAAGUCCAGUGCCCUUGCAUCCCAUCACCUCCUAGACCCUCCACCAGUGCUGCUUAUUCUCUCUGCUGUUUUCCCAGAAUCAUUCACUGCCCUUCUCCACAUCACAGGAGCUCCUGUCUCCUCUGACUUCAGGUUGGACUGGCUAAUAGAAAGACCAAAAGGUGGCAGGAGAGCAGAGUUGAGCAUUCGUUCCCUGGCUCUCCCCCUGCCUCAGCACUGUGGCUCUGACAAUGACUGGAUCCCUCUACAACUUCGACUCUUAUCUAGAGCCUCCUUCCACAGUGGUAGGUCAUGGCACCCCAUGAACACUGGAUCCCCAUGCUCACCCCAUGCUCUUCAGGCCUGGGCAGUACAACAGCUUCCUGCUAUUGCUAAAACCUGGCACCUCGUCCUCUCUUCCUAGGUGCCUCAGCCCUGCCCACACAUCUCUAAAUUGUACCUUUAAAUUGUAUAUCUUUAAAUUGUACCUUUAUUCAAUUAUCUGUAAAAUUCCAGUUGAGCAUGUCUUCUAUUUCUGCUGAGAAAACUAAGAAACUCCUCCUUUUCAAACUAUUUGUUCACAGGCUGCCAAAAACUUUUACCACCUGUCCCCAAUUCCUCUCUCAGCCCUCUCCUCACUUUACCCAGACUCCUUUCACAGGAAGUCAUAAGCCACCCCCCAUUCCUCUCCAGGCGCGAAUUUACCAUGGCUCUGGACUUGCCCUUUACCAGUUCUCUAUUAAUUUAAAAGCUGAUAAGUCCUCUCCCAAGCUCCUAUUUCCCCAUCCUCUCUUCUUCGUCUAUCUCACACUUUAUUUCUCCAUAGGAAAGAAUUUGAACUAUCGAUCUGUCUGCUGUAUAAUUUGGAUUGAGAAACAGAGCAUGAAAACACUCUUUGAAUACCUUCAGGGAAACAUACUCUAUUCAAACUAUGUUUCUUUCAACUCUAAAUUUGUAAACUAUUCUUUUUUUUAAGGUAGUUCUGCCUAAAAGAGUUAAAAAAUUGACUACCCUAUCAAUUUUGCCCUCGAGGUUAUACCAACUAUUUCUAUACUGGCAAUAAAAUCAACUCCAUUUCUUCCAGGCUAGAUCACAAUUAUUACUAGGCACAUAUUCCAAGGCUGCAAUAAUUCAGUGGCCCAAUACUAUUUCAAAUUUAUAGCAGAAAGAGGCACAAUAGUCAUUUUGGCCUCUAGGGUGCCUUCUCACUAAAGACCAUGAGCUCAGAGGUUACACAUAACCUAUAAUAAUAGUUGUGUCUUCCUAGGGUGUGAUUGAAGAAAAGAAAAUAAAUAAAAAUGCCCUUGCCUUCUUAUGUUAGAAUGCGUAACCAAAAGCACCCAAGAGCUGACAUUCAGUUCAGGAUUUCUGAGACCCUUCCUCCUUUCCUUGCUGUGAAAAAUAAUGAUCUGCUGUUCUCUGACUGUCAUUCAAACAAUGGGCCCAAGAAGCCAGCAUCUCUCUCCUCACUGGCCUCUUGUUCUCUAAAUGUACUGCCCAUCACCACUUUCCAAACCACAUUAGUCAUGAAGUGCUGACAAUAAUUACUAACACAUUGAAAUGGUUGCCCAAAAUGAUGACUGUACAGGCCUACAGAAUUGGUAUUUUUACUGCAGUAAAAGGGUAUGAGUAUGAGGCUUCAUAAGAAAUUUUAUGGCAUUUUGGCUACUGAUCACAGGUACAAAUUAUCCAUGCUCAAUUAAAGAAAGAUGAAAGUUCAGCUUUCUAUAAUUAAACCAAUAACUUGUUCAGCCUCAGGCUGGAAGUAAAUGUUAAGGAUUCGUGUCUUGCAAUCCUGCAUGAAGAAUUAAAGAAGCAAACUCUAUUAUCACCGACUUACUUAAAAUCAAGGCCUUAUGCAUAUUGGAAAUUAUUCAUGAUGAGACUUUUAGAUCAGGAAAAAAUAAGUCAUUCUCACACUCUUUUGGCUGCCUUGCAGGCAAUAACUUUCUUCACUAUUCUGUUUGGAAUAUUGCAUCAUUUAGAUCAUUCUUCUUAAGUCAAUCCAGACAUUUUCUUUAGAUUCUGCUAAGAAUAUUAUAUGAAAUUUAAGGACUGGAAAAAAUACUUAAAGAGAUAUUUUAACAUGAUAAAAAAAAGUCCAACAACCAGCUCUGCAACUUCCUACCCUCUGCUUCUAUUUCCUUACCUAUAAAAUGGGCUGUGAUGAUUAGUUUUAUUUGUUCAGUUUAGCUAGGCUGCAAUCCUUAUUUAUUCAACCAAACACUAAUCUAGGUGUUUCUGCAAAGGUGUUUUGUAGAUGUGAUUACAGUCCACAGUCAGUUAAUUAUAAGUACAGGAGAUUAUCCUAGGUAAUCUGGGUGGGUCUAGUUCAAUCCAUUGAAAGUCCUUAAGAGCAGAACUGAGGCUUCCCUGAGGAAGAAGUUCUGCCUGUGUCUUCAGAUCAUGCCAAGGAGUUCUAGCCUCCCCCUCCUAACAGCAUGCCUUACAGAUUUUGAAAUUACCUAGCGGCCCCCAGUUGUGUAAACCAAUUCCUUCCAAUAAUUCUAUGUCCAACCAUCCACCCAUCCAUCCAUCCAUCCAUCCAUCCAUUCAUCCAUCCAUCUUUCUGCUUGUUUCUCUUGUUAUACCUUGACUGAUACAUGAGGAUAAUAAUGCCUAUUCUGCAGCAGUGCUAUAAGAAUAAAAUGAGAUUGUAUAUAUAAAAAUUAUUUUAACACAAAAUAAAUGUAAGGAUGUGUAUGUAGAAUUACUAUUUGAUUUGACUAACUCAAAUCGAGCUAACAACUCCAUAUAAUCACUGCUCUUUCCUAACAGGCCUUGUGAUUUUGUUUUCCAGAUUCUGCAUAUCUGUUACAUUCUAAGGCCACUUCACAACACUACCAAACCCAGCUUUACAGUUUGGAAGACUGAGAGAAUCAUACCCAAAGCCACAAACAUCCAAAUAUGGUGUUCUUCACAAGAAACUAAUAAUGAACUUGAGACAGAGUCUGCAGGGAUAGGUAUCAGAAGUCAAGUCUAAAGUAUAUGAGGUCUAUGUUCAAACAGGAGCCUGGACAUGACUGAGAUAAAGAAUGAUUCCCGAGCUGGGCACACUGGCUUAUGCCUAUAAUUCCAGUGACUCAGAAGGCUGAGGCAAGAGGAUUGCUUGAGGCCAAGAGUCUGAGGCUCUAUUGAGCUAUGAUUGCACCACUACUGUCCAACCUGGGGGACACAGCAAGAGCUUGUCUCUUAAAAAAGAAAAAAAAAGAUUGAGUCCAGAGUUAGAGCUACAGGAUAAAAAUAAGUUAACUGAACUCAGGGGGAGAAAGGAGGGGAACCUACUCCAAAUUCUAGCUCAGGUCUUACCUAAAUGUGGGCUGGCUCAGCUCCCAAGUGGCUGAGUGAGGUCAUGACUGAGAAGAAAGGACCCCUGGCCCAAGUCGUGAGUUGAAUGACUCUUAGGUUGAGAAGCUUUCGUACCUAAGAAUCAAGUGGCCAGUGGUGCACCAUGGGAGAGAUGAUCACCAAACUUUUCUUCUCUUUGAGGUCACACACCUAGAUUACCUGCCCCAGUCUCCCUUGCAGUUAGAUCUGGCUGUGAGGUUGAGUUUUAGCCAGUGGGAUAAAGAUGGAAGUUUCCACUGGCCUAACCCAUAAAUUCCUCCACAACUCUUCCCACUUUUAAUCUUAUGCCCCCAUGUCGUCUCUUCUCCCAGCCUUCUUCGUCUCAAUAAAUGUCACUAGCACAUAUCCAGUCAUUCAAGGAAAAACACAAUGGAGAAAACCAUCCUCAACUACCCAUUCCCUUUACCUCACUCUUUCCCAGCAUCCUGCAAAAUCUCGCUCCAAAUAUAGCUCCAGUUUGUCCACUUCCCUCCCUUUUCUCCAGUCUAUAACCUUGGUUUACUCCAUCACUAUCUCUCAAUUAGACUAUUGAAAUAAAAUCCUACCUGGAAUUUAAACUCUUAA